This 238-nucleotide ribosomal RNA is filed under the name uncultured bacterium. RNAcentral's name for it is "partial 16S ribosomal RNA". It matches the Rfam family "Bacterial small subunit ribosomal RNA", at positions 524 to 761 of the family's 1533-position model. The record is from RNAcentral.
UACGUAGGGGGCGAGCGUUGUCCGGAUUUACUGGGCGUAAAGGGCGCGCAGGCGGUCUGGGAAGGUUGGCGUGACAGUGCUCGGCUUAACUGAGCAAGGCCUUCGAAAACUCUCAGACUUGAGCACUCAAGAGGGACAUAGAAUUCCGGGUGGAGUGGUGAAAUGCGUAGAUAUCCGGAGGAAUACCAAAGGCGAAGGCAGUGUCCUGGGGAGUGUCUGACGCUCAGGCGCGAAAGCU